ACACUGUUACACCCAUCACCAUGUUUCUCUACCCAGUGUUUCUCCUCUCUGCACAUGUUGCUCAGGCGUUCGGCGUCGCCGGCCUUCAAGCUGCUGCCGAACCUGCUGCUGGCAAACACCCUUCACUCAUCAAUCCCGGACUUGUCUUGUCAUCAUUACACCCACCUGGUUCCAAUCCCCACUCUAUCACUGUAUAUAUACUCCCUCUGUCAUUUGUCAUUGUAAAUGUUGCUUGUUUUCCUGAGAGGAAUCUCUUCUACUAUUUCCUGUGUACUUUAUUAUUUUGCACCUUUGGUUUUGUCCCGCUUUUACAAUUAUAG
RNAcentral lists this long non-coding RNA (320 nucleotides) under Salmo salar (Atlantic salmon). RNAcentral's name for it is "lncRNA (ENSSSAG00000115704.1)". Lineage: Eukaryota; Metazoa; Chordata; Actinopteri; Salmoniformes; Salmonidae. The record is from RNAcentral.